Molecule: ribosomal RNA, 253 nt
Filed under: uncultured bacterium
Lineage: Bacteria
Description: partial 16S ribosomal RNA
Rfam family: Bacterial small subunit ribosomal RNA
Source: RNAcentral
UACGGAGGGUGCAAGCGUUAUCCGGAUUCACUGGGUUUAAAGGGUGCGUAGGUGGGUUGGUAAGUCAGUGGUGAAAUCUCCGAGCUUAACUCGGAAACUGCCAUUGAUACUAUAGGUCUUGAAUUAUCUGGAGGUAAGCGGAAUAUGUCAUGUAGCGGUGAAAUGCUUAGAUAUGACAUAGAACACCAAUUGCGAAGGCAGCUUACUACGGAUUGAUUGACACUGAGGCACGAAAGCGUGGGGAUCAAACAGG